AACCUCUCAUAGAUUUUGCAAAAUCAAUGGAAUAUUCUCAGUAUUAAAACAGUGUUGACAUGGAACAACAGCCAAUAAAUGUUAGCUAUGAUUAAGAUGUUUCCAAGAAUGGGUAGGAGUUUUGUAAAUAGAGAAAGGAAUCUGUGGCUGAGAAGGAUAAAUUUGCAGCCAGAAUCAAGACACACAGAAAAGCAAAGCCCAGAGAAGCAUCUCAGCCUCCCAUUACUUGAGAUAGUAAAUUUAUUUUUUUAGCCUACUUGAGUUGAGGUAUUCAAUUGUUUGUAUCCUCAGUAUGCUGUGCUGAUACAGUUCCACUAAAAUUGUUAGAUCAGAAGAAGAUCUGGCUUUCAGACUAUGAAUUUAUGUCAGUUAAAAAGCACAAGUAUAAUCAAAGUGAAAGAAAGUAUAAUUCUAGAUCUGAAGAAAGUGAUGGAUGGGGGGAUUGAUUGGUUAGUAAGGGAGUUACAUGCUCAGAGCUGAAGGCUGAUCUGGUGUGGUUCUAAAAUGGCCCCCAAAGCCUCAUAUGUUUGGAAGGUUAUUGGAUUAUGGGAGCUUUAUAGCUGGCCUGUUAGGAGGCAGAGUCUCACUGGGAGAGGCAGGUCACUGGGGCAUGCUCUGGAAGGGGACAUCUCCCUCCUCAGCUCCUCCCUUCUCUCUGUUUCCUGGGUACCAUGACAUGAGCAGCUUUCCUCUACAGCAGGUUCUUCCACCAUGCUUUUUCUGCCCUGGAGCCAACUACGGGCAGUAUCCGCUAAAAACCUCACACAGAACAUGGUACUCAAUGCUCUUGCACUUGAGGAGGAGGCAUGUGGCAUUUCUUUGAUGAAAUGUGAAGAUGGUCAUUUUUCUGGACUGAAGCAGUGACUGAGCAGUGCUGAUUCCAAUUUCUCUCUCUCUCUCUCUCUCUCUCUCUCUCUCUCUCCCACACACACAGUGGUAAAGGAGAAAGUCUUGUGGAAAAGCCAAAACAUCAAAGGCCCUUGAUUGCUAAGUCACUGAAUAGAUGAUACCUACUGUCAAGGAGAUCUUCCAUUGCCAUUGCAGGCAUAAGAAAAUAAACUCUUUGAAAAACCACUAAAAUCUAAGAGCUGUUUGUUACCAGUGCAUAAUCUAGCCCUACUCUUACUAAUAGAUAACGAAAAGAAGAUAAAUAGAAAGUGGCGAGAGAUAACAGUGAAGUUGAAGAAAGGAGAUUCUUACUUUUUUAAUGUUUCAUAUUUCUAUGGUGAGUGAGACUGAAGCCUGUUUGUUAGAAAAAUGGAAAGAGGCAGUACAGAGGAAGAAUGUGAAGAUGCUAAAGCAGUAUUCUAAAGAAAACAGAAAAUGUGGCAAUAUACAAGCCAUGAGGUGAGCCUUUGCAUUUCUUCUAAGAAAAAUCCAGACCCAGGAGGAGUUGCAGAGAAAAGCUGAAGAUGACCACCCUCAUCAGCCCAUGCACUUGACUUCUGAAGCAAGCAAGCAAAGAGGCUGGAAUUUUAAAUCCUUGGCAUGGAACAAUUUCAAGGGAUGACGAACGUCUGCGACUGAAAUAACCAUGCAUGCAAUGAUGGCCUUUGCAUAUCAGCCUCCUGGCAGCUGUCCAUGCAGGAUGACUGGCAAGGACUGGUACUCCCUGCAUUCCACUCUUUUGGUUUAAAUAAUAUAGGCAUUUCUUAAAGAGAAUCAUCAUUAUUUAAGAAGUAAAUUUCUAUCCAGAAAGGGUUAAAUUUGUUCUUCUUUUUUUUUUUCAGUUCUAACUCCCUACCCCCACUGUUUGCCUAUGUCCUUUAACUGAAUUAGUUAUUCCAUUGCCAGGCCAGUGCUGGUCCCCUGCAGAACAACACAUGCUGUGCUCUCUCUGCAGUGCACUCAUGAUGAACUUUGGGCCACACAUCUGCUGCAGAGAAGGAACUCACAUUCCCAAAUGGCUGACAUAAGCUGAGGAUUCGAAGUUCAUAUGUUUGUGGCAUAUUUUUAUUAGAUAGGCUGCUAGAGAAUCAGAGAAGUACAUUUAGUUAUUAUUUCUUUAUCUCAUUACAGCACAUUCCAAACUAUUUUUCUUUUUAUCCACUUGAUAUUAUUCUAAGAUUCUGUUUCUACAAGUUAAUAUCUAGGCUAAAACCAGGGUUCACUACCCUUUACCCCUAAAUCAUUGCUAUGUCUAGCUUAAGGGUGUGUCCUCAUUACUUCCCUCAUUGCUGGGACAAAAUACCCAACAUCUACAACUGAAAGUAGAGGUUUCUUUUGCUGCAUGUUUCAGUCCAUAGUUGGCUGGCUCCAAAGCAGGACAGCAUGGCAGAGGGGUAUGGUGUAGGAAAAUCUGCUCACAGCAUGGUGGACAGGAAGCAGAAGGUGUCAAGGCAGGAGCUUCUGGUCACACCCACAGUGAUCUUCCUCUUCUGACCAGACCCUCCCUCCUAACAGCAAGUCAGUUAUAAGCCCCCAUAAUCCAAUCUUGCAAAACCUGUCUGUGGGUACAGGAGGGACUUGAAGGAUGUCUAGAUAUAAGUAUAAUGGAAUGUUUUGUACAGUUUUACCUCUUCAAGCCUCUUUGAUUUUCUGCAGAAACAGGCAAAAAUUUUCUGUAGAGUCUGAUAGAAAAAGUUAGGUUUUGUAGGCCAAGUGCUCUGUUGCAACUACUCAGUCUUUUACAGCACAAAAGCACCCAGAGAUAGAAC
Molecule: long non-coding RNA, 2657 nt
Filed under: Heterocephalus glaber (naked mole-rat)
Lineage: Eukaryota; Metazoa; Chordata; Mammalia; Rodentia; Bathyergidae
Description: lncRNA (ENSHGLG00000047438.1)
Source: RNAcentral